UCACGGCCACCAGCAGCAUUCUAGAGUUGCCGCGGAAGCAAAUGCAAUAAUCAGCAGCGGCAAGAGGCUAAGGUUCUGGGGGAGAAAAAGGCCUGGUCCCAUAGCACAUGGAACCAAUGAGGAGACAUCUGCAGGAGGAAGCUCACUUCAGGCCCCACCUGAGGAAGGACACCCAUAAGGUAACAAAGAUAAAAUCUUUCACUGCAAUAAACUAUAAUACCACCAAGUAUUACAAAUUCAAGUCGUCUCACUCUUUGGACUAGCUAAUGACAACCUAUGUGCAGGAGAAUUUCAUUCAUCUAACAAGUACUCAAUGAACAGCAAAUGGGUCCAUUCACCAUCCUGUUUCGGUCCAAGGAUAACAUCUCUGUGCUGAUAAUUCUCAAAUCUAUCCAUUCUGCCUCAAUCUCUCUACUGACCUCCAACCCGUCACG
Molecule: non-coding RNA, 434 nt
Organism: Phascolarctos cinereus (koala)
Lineage: Eukaryota; Metazoa; Chordata; Mammalia; Diprotodontia; Phascolarctidae
Source: RefSeq, a predicted model, not a curated record